Molecule: long non-coding RNA, 1441 nt
Filed under: Crocodylus porosus (Australian saltwater crocodile)
Lineage: Eukaryota; Metazoa; Chordata; Crocodylia; Crocodylidae
Description: lncRNA (ENSCPRG00005013797.1)
Source: RNAcentral
UCUUGUCUCCGGCUCAGGAAGAGGAUAGCAGUCAGCACGCUGAGCCUUCCCCGCUAUCACACCGCCGCAGCAGUGGCAGGGGCAGGCAGACAGAGCUUCAAAUGCACCUUGGCACAAGGUCAUGACUUUAUGGAAUGGAAACUGGAGGAGAUCUUCCCUAUGGCCUGUUAUGACAACCAAAGUUCCUUGUUUGUUGGCCUUAUGCAGAAGACAAGAGCACUUCUACUAAUAGGUGGCAUCAGCAUUCAGGUUAAGUGGUACAUGGGGAGGGAGCAUGACUUCUACUUCCAGACCCAGCACAUCCUCGAGAGGUUACAGGCUUUUGUACAACAGGCAAGCCAGCAUCAUCAUAGGUACUGGAAAAAUAGCCAUGACCUUUGCAGACAAAUUCCAUCAAAGCCUUUCUGGGCUUCGAUUCCUCCUCCUCUUCUCUCUCAAAGUUUACACAGAAGUGUAGAAAAGCAGUUAGAGCCCUUCAAUGCCCCACGGUCUCAUAAGAAACCUAACCCCCGCACUAGGUUAAUCCAAUAAUAAUUGCUAUACAAUCAUGCAGCGACUAGAGCUCUGUUAAUAAUUCACAGCUAAUUAUUUAUUAGGCACAUUUGCCUUUUUCUGCCUUUGGCCGCAUUGUGAAAUCCUUGAGCGUGUUUGAUUCAAAAGCAUUUGCAAAUACAUUUAGCAACUCUUCCUUGGCCUGAAGAUACGUGCAGUUGCAACACUUAGGCUUUGCACAAUGCACUGUGUGGUGUAACGCGUGUAAAAUUGGAGCUGUAAUGAUACAGCCUUCAUCUCCCUGUAGGGGGGCUGCAAAGAUGAUGGAGCUGGGCUGGUCUCAGUGGGGGCAGAUGGCAGGACAAGGAGCAAUGGGCUCAAGCUGCAGCAAGGGAAGUUGAGGUUGGAUAUUAGGAAAAAUUUUCCCACUAGGAGGUUGGGUAACCUGUUCCAGUGCUUUACUAGAGAAGUUAUGGACUCCAUCUUUGGAGGUUUUGAAGACCCAGGUAGACGAAGCCUUGGCUGGGAUGGUGUAGUUGGGGCUGGUCCUGCUUGGAGCAGGGGGUUGGACUAGAUGCGACCUCCUGAGGUUCCUGCAACCCUCCUUUUCUAUGAUUCUAUGAACAGAGACUCUUUCUUCUGUUCAUAGACUUGAACUAAAUGACCCUGGAAGUGACUUCCAACUCCAUGACUCUCAUCUGAAGUCAGUUUACAGCCAUCCUUUGAAUGAGUCACCAUCUGGUGCAGACACCAGCCAGACCAGAACAUCAUGCACUUGACUAGUGCACAUUGUGAUGUUCCUGGAGUGGGGAUCAUGUGCAUUCAUGCAACAGAACCAAAAUUCAUUUAAUGGAUCUGCACAAAUAUGAGUAGAGAUGCUGCCACCUGCCCAGUUCAUGCAGAUGUCACCUUACAGCAGCUUGUGGACGUGUCUGAUGACAUGAAGGCU